AUGUCAAUUACAGGUAGACAUCCUCCCAGAUCACAUCAGUCACGAAGUACAGGCACAGAGGACGAAAAAUCUUAUGCUUAUCCAUCCUGUUUUUUCUCAAAUCUACCAAGGAGAAGACUAAUAAUCUACGCACAGCCUAUCCACAUGGCUCCGAAGGGAGGAGCCUAUUUGGUUCUGCUCAUCAUGGCCUCUGCAGUUUUGGCUCAACUUCCACAUAUGGGGCCUCAAGAAAAAGCUGAGUUAGAAAAAGUGACUGAAAAACUGAUGAAGAAGUGCUACUAUAGGGGUAAGAAAACUUUCAAUUCACUUUUAAAGAGAAGAAUGUGUAUGUGUGUAAAGUACACCCUCUUUCACAUUCUUAUAUACCACUCACUACGUAAUAAAAAUAAUCUGGUCGGGGCCUUUCUGUGUGACAUGUUCUCGCUGUGUUUGCAUGGGUUCUCAUGUUAGGUUAACUGUUCAUUCUAAAUUGCCCAUAGGUGAGUGUGAGUGGUUGUUUCUAUGUCUUAGCCGUGUGAUAGCCUGGCAGCCUGUCCAGGGUGUACCCCUCCUCUUGCCCUGAGAUAGCUGGUAUAGGUUCCAGCCCCACCAUGAACCUGAUAAGGAUAAGCAGAAAAGAACGGAUGGAUGAAUCUAUGUAUAAGGAACUUUGAAGUUGUUAAAGGUGGUUGUACACGCUACUGAAUCAUUGUGUGCUUAGUUUUAUUAAAAAAUUAACAUGUAUACAAUCUUGGAACUGACACAGGGUGUACUGAAGCUGAACCUUAAAAUGUUUUGUUGGAAUAAUUGUAAUAUAACUCCAGUCACCAUACUGACUGGGUCAGUGUGAGAGUUUGAAUACCCUGACCACAUUCUGUAAUAUGAGCCACAACUGAUAAUGGUUUGAUUUUACAGGAUACCCAGAGCCUAAUUUGAUGCAGGUCAACAGUGUCUUCAACUCCAGGUAAUUCUUUUUUGUAUUUUGUUGCUGCCCUAAAGAAGCAAGUGGUCACUGCAGUUAUCACA
This 1005-nucleotide long non-coding RNA is filed under the name Oreochromis niloticus (Nile tilapia). Its description in RNAcentral is "lncRNA (ENSONIG00000036815.1)". Lineage: Eukaryota; Metazoa; Chordata; Actinopteri; Cichliformes; Cichlidae. The record is from RNAcentral.